CGCGCCUGGUCUGCUCUUUUCUUUUUAUUCCACCACAUGGAUCAAUCUCAUAAAUAUUCUUAACCUAGGGGAUAGGAGAUGGAUGUCAGUUUGGGUGGUACUGUGACUGUUGUCCUCCUGGGGCAUUUGUGUCUAAAUGAUGCGAUGCCUAUUUAGACUGUAGGUCCCUUGGGGUAGGGACACAGGCCAUCCUUUCUAUAAUCCAAUGUCUCGCAUUAUCUAGGUGCUCAAUUAAUGUUGUUAAUGUUAACGAUAACGAAUUAUGAGGCUUUUGUCUGAUUUACUUUGUGAUUCUUGAUUAUGUUUGGCUAAUUUCAAAAGGGAGCCAUAAUGAAUGGAUGUCUUAUUUUUUAAAUCAUUCAGAGUCUUCAGGCCAUUGCAGCACAGAAGAGAUUUCAUUUCAGAGAAUUGGCUUGCUGAAGCAAUCUAAAUUUCUUCUCUUGAAAGCGGAAAGUGUGUGGGAUGGCCUGACAUAUUGGUUUCCAUGUUGAAUUACACAUGGAAGGUGGAGCUGUAUGUCUAUGCCUAAGCAGCUGCAGGCCUAUGAAUGUCUAGUUUUGCUUAUAGCAUAUGGAGGCUGAAGAGGUGUUAUUGUUGAUAAGGUUUGCUUGGCCAAUUAGAAUUUAAAUGUGUGUCAGGGAUGGGUGAGUAAAAAAUGAGGGGCGCCUAUUGCAAAUGUAAAGAGAGCUGGUGAAUAAAAAAUGAGGGGAGCCUAUUGCAAAUGUAAAGAGACCUAAGAGACCUAUCAACAUAAGACAAUAUGUGGUAUCUCGUAUGCAGU
This 781-nucleotide long non-coding RNA is filed under the name Homo sapiens (human). Its description in RNAcentral is "HSALNT0402064". The record is from RNAcentral. Lineage: Eukaryota; Metazoa; Chordata; Mammalia; Primates; Hominidae.